AGCAGCCGCGGUAAUUCCAGCUCCAAUAGCGUAUAUUAAAGUUGUUGCAGUUAAAAAGCUCGUAGUUGAAUUUCGGGAUCAAUACGUCGGUCGUGCUUCGGUACGUACUGGCGUCAUUGAUUUCUCCCUUCUGACGAACCACGAUGUCAUUAACUUGGUGUCAUGGGAAAUCAGGACUGUUACUUUGAAAAAUUAGAGUGUUUAAAGCAGGCUCACGCUUGAAUACAUUAGCAUGGAAUAAUGAAAUAGGACGUUCGAUCCUAUUUUGUUGGUUUUAGGAUCAACGUAAUGAUUAAUAGGGAUAGUUGGGGGCAUUAGUAUUCAAUUGUCAGAGGUGAAAUUCUUGGAUUUAUUGAAGACUAAACUAC
RNAcentral lists this ribosomal RNA (368 nucleotides) under uncultured Glomeromycotina. RNAcentral describes it as "SSU rRNA". It matches the Rfam family "Eukaryotic small subunit ribosomal RNA", at positions 569 to 944 of the family's 1831-position model. The record is from RNAcentral. Lineage: Eukaryota; Fungi; Glomeromycota.